UUGUCGUCAACACAUAUUCAAUAUAAUCAAGAACAAGAAGAAUUAUACAUUAUGGAAAAUUGAAAAUAUAUUAUCACAGUAUAUUGUGUUACAUUUUACAACAAAAUAUUACAUGAUCAACCAUACAUAUGAACUGAAUGAUGUUUUAUUCAUACGAUUUUAGAGUAGCAAGACCAUUACUAUAUCAUACAUCUUGCCACUACAUACAACGAUUUAUAAUAUUAUUUGAUGAUUUGUUCUGAGACAAUUGGCUAGUCACUUACUCAUGGCCACCAAUGGGAGGGUUGUAUGCACCACUUCAAGGCUUGUAUUUGUCAUUAGGGGGCUUAUAUUUGUCACUUGGAGAUUUGUAUUCAUUAUCAGGGGAUUUGUAUUUGUCACCUGGAAACUUGUAAUCGUCACUUGGGGGCUUAUAUUUAUCAUGUGAGGGAUUAUAGUUGUCACCUUCAUGUUUAUAUUCAUCUCUAUAAGGCUUAUAUUUGUCACGUGAGGGAUUAUAGUUGUCACCUUCAUGUUUAUAUUCAUCUCUAGGAGGCUUAUAUUUAUCAUGUGAGGGAUUAUAGUUGUCACCUGCAUGUUUAUAUUCAUAUCUAGGAGGCUUAUAUUUGUCAUGUGGAGAGUUAUACUUGUCACGUGGAUAUUUGUACUCAUCACUAGGGGGUUUGUACUUAUCAUAUGGGGAUCUAUAUUUGUCACCUGGAGAUUUGUAUUUGUCACCUGGAGACUUGUAUUCCUCACUUGGGGGCUUAUAUUUAUCACGUGAGGGAUUAUAGUUGUCACCUGCAUGUUUAUAUUCAUCUCUAGGAGCCUUAUAUUUAUCAUGUGGGAAGUUAUAUUUGUCACGUGAAUAUUUGUACUCAUCACUAGGAGGUUUGUAUUUGUCAUAUGGGGAUCUAUAUUUGUCACCUGGAGACUUAUAUUCUUCACUAGGGGACUUAUAUUUAUCACGUGGAGAGUUAUAUCCAGUAUUAUAUUUGCCACGUCCAUCACCAGAAUAUCCGCCAAUGCCAUUAUAUCCAUCAUGGUAUUCAUCAUUCUUGUCAUCCAAUUUCAUUGCUACAAAUAUCAAAUAUGAAAUUUAUAAUUAGCAUAACAUCGAAUAUAUAUCAAAUGAUUAUAUAAGAAAUACAAUAUAUAUUUCAAAGAGAUAACUAAUUAAAGAAAAAUAAUAGUAAUAAACUUACAGGUCUCACAGCUUAUCAUUGCAAAAAUAGCCAAAAGAAUGCCAAGAAAUAGAAAUUCCUUGGAACCCAUCAUUUUUUUUCUUCUUUAAAGCUUAGUUAUUUUAAUUAAAGGAUGAAGAAAUUGAAGCAACGUUGAGUUAUAUUUAUACUAAGAAUUCAAUGUAUUAAAAUUGAUAAAUGGUCACCUAUCACUUAUCUUGCUCAAUUGACACGCCAUGUAAUUAAUUAUAUUUCCUCCGUUUUAAUUUAUUUGAUUAUUUAAAUAUUCGUUUAAGAAAGGAAUUUAGUAUAGGACCACAAUGUUUAUAGUUAAUAAAAGAAAACAAUAUAUUAUUUAAUUAUAAUUUUAAAAAAUGAAUAUUUUAAUAAACACAUAUUUUAUGUUAUGAUGGGAGUGAAUCUCAAACAAAAGAGAGAAAUGUUUUUGUUAAAUAUAUUUUUAAUACUUAAAUAAAAUCCCUAAGAGUAAUAAAUAACUUAAAAAUAUUAUUAUAUUUAUCAUAAUGCAAAUUUCUACAUUUUUUUUACGUAAUUUGUUUUUCUUAGACUUUUUUUUUUGGGGGGGGAAUUUGAAUAACAGAGACUAAUUCUCCAUUACUAAUAAAAAAAAGAUUCUUAAGUUUUACUUAAACACAAAUUGUUAUAAGUUAUAACCAUUCAAAGAACUUUUCAAAAACACGUUUGACAAAAUAAAAUACGUAGAAUUUAAAAGUUUUCCCAAAUAGGUUUUAAUUACUCAAAAAAUCUUUAUUGCUUUAGUUUUCUACUUCAUAUAUUUGAAGUAUUGCUAUCAAUUUUUGUGUUAGGUGCAAUUUUUGUGUUAGGUGAUCGAUAAGUAUCUUCUACUUUUAAUUUUACGUUUUUAAAUUCAAAAUUUGAGAUAAAAUUUUGAUAGAGAACACUUUAACCCUAAAGUGGAAUAUUCUUGUUAGAGGUAAAAGUAGAGUUGGUACAUCAGAUUUAUCUAAGUAAAAAUAGAAUUGGGACAUCGGAUUUAUCUGAACUUAAUCUUUUAAUGUGAGACAUAAAUUUCUAUUUAACAAUUUAUUCAUAUAGCAACAAAUGAUAUCUCUGAAUUCAUAACUUCAAAAUUACAAGUAAUUCAACACUAAAAACCUUAACCGUUAAGGUACUCGUAAUGUUUAAAUCUAAUUUUUAAGUUAAUUUGAAUCAAUCCACAUUAAUGGUGAAUCAUUUAAUUAAAUUAGUACAUAGAACACAUCAAAAUGUUUCAUAUUAACCGUGUAACAUCAAGUCAUUUCAUAUGAUUAAUUGGUAUUAAUAAUAAAUAUAACAAAUCAUAAGGAAAACUUGUGUUAAUUAAGUCAAACAUGAGAGGUUGUUUAUGAAAUUAUCAUUAAAAAGAUAAUUAACUUGAAAUACCUUAAUCUUGAUUGCUCAUAAAAGAGAGAUUUCGAAAUUUCUUGACUUAAAUCUUAUGUUUUCUUAAAAUAAAUAAAAUUUAGAAACCUUUCUUUAGUUUUAAAUUUAUUCACAUGGGUACAUGAGGAUCUAGCAAUUUUAUUACUGAUUUGCAUGAACUUGACGUUAUUCUAGGAACUCAUAAAUUUUAAGUUCAAAGUUUUCCUAUAAUGAUUAUUGGAUAUUUUCGUGGGAUAGUAAUUGUUAAAGUAUUGUUGUUUUGAAGUAUGGCAAAGUUAAGGAAAUUGUAGUAGUAAUAUGGCAAAAGAAAGAAGAUGUGUGUCUUAUUUGUUGAGUUCGAAAUGUAUAAUUGUCAUCAUCAAAAAGGGGGAAUUUGUUAGAAUGAUAAAGAUUUUGAUAAUUGACAAAUACAGAAACAGGUUGUACAGACGUGUUCCUUACAGAACGAAUCCGACUUGGAUAAGGAGAACGUCAACCACGUGAAUUAGAAGUUAUAAAGUUGUGGAAUUAUAAUUUUUUCGACAAGCAACAAGUACAAAAAGUUUCCUUUUGUAAAGGAGUUCAAAGUCAAGUGAAAGAAGGAAAACUAAUCCCUAUUUAAGAAAAUCUAUUUAAGGAAAUUGUAUAGAAAAGGAGUCCAAGUAGAAGUCAACAAGGAUUUGUAGAAGGCAAAUACAAGUUGAAUUAUACAAGAAUUUGUUGAAGUUCUGAUCUAUAAAUAGGGAGCUAUUUACAUAAAAAAAAAAUUGCACACUUACAUAGAGAGAAGAUCAAAACACAAUCAAGAAGUUUAAAAGAGUUUAGAGAUUUAUUGGGAGUGUAGCAAUUUGUGAAUAAAAAUUGUAAGAUUGUAUCAAAGAGUCUUGUUUACAAUCUGAGUUUUGUGAGUAGGAGUUGUUCGACAAGUUGUAGAACUUGAAGAACAUUGGAACAUAUAUAACCGGGGGGUUCUGUGUCUUUGGGUAGCUAGAGUUAUUCUAGAAAUUAGAGUUUAUAAUUCCUUAGGUUACAUAGCUUUGUAAUUUUUUGUUGAAACUUGAAAUUUAAUAAAGUGGAGUUAAAUCCUACAGAGAUGUAGGUCGUGAUUUUUACCCUUGUGAGUUGGGGGUUUUCGCGAUAAAAUAUUGUGUCAUUAUUUUAUUUAUUUCACAAAACGUAAUUGUUGUAAUUUCUCAAAGGAACAUAUAGAAUAAACAUGUUUCUAAGACGAAUUUGGGGGUCAGAAUUCUAACAAUUGGUAUCAGAGCAGGUUAUCUUUGAAGAGUCUAACAACUCAAGAUAAGAUCAUAAUGAAUUUUGUACCUUCUCUUGGGCAUGGUCAAGGGCAACACUUCAACAGACCACCAUUAUUUAAUGGAGAAUACUACUCUUGAUGGAAGACAAAAAUGAAAAAUUUCAUUCAAGCUGAAGCUUACGAACUAUGGGUUAGAAUUACUAAUGGACCAUUAAUUCCUACUAUUACUGAUAGUGAAGGGAAUAAGGUACCUAAACCUACAGAAAAGUACGGAGAAGCCGAUUAGAAGAUGUUAGGAAAGAAUGCAAAAGCUAAGUGCAUUCUCGUAUGUGGAUUAGGACCUGAUGAGUUUAACCGCAUCUCUAGUUGUACCUCUGCAAAACAAAUAUGAGACAUUUUAAAAAACGCUCGAAGGUACAACUCAAGUUCGUAAAUUCAGAAUUGCCAGACUUUGUUCUGAAUAUGAAGCCUUCAAGAUAAAAUUCGGAGAAUCACUUCAAGAUAUGAUCACCAGAUUUACCAUUGUUGUAAACGAGUUAAUAUCCUUGGACAAAGUAUACACCACUGAGGAACAGAUAGACAAAGUACUAGGGACUCUGCCUAGAUCAUGGGAAAUAAAAGUUACUGCAAUCAGAGAAGUCAAAGAUCUAAUCAAUAUGACUUUGGAUGAAUUAGUAGGAAAUCUCAAGACUUAUGAGAUGAAUAUUGACAAAAGAGGUGAAGGAAACAAAGAGAAAAAUCUUGAAUUAAAAGCAACUGAAAGUGAUGAAUUUGACAUAGAUGAUGAUGAUCUUGCUCUGAUAAGUAAGAACUUCAAGAAACUCUUAAAAAGGAGAUUAAACGCUAGCAAGAAAUCACCACCCCAAAAAGUAAGAAAUAUUGAGAGACUAUUAAGCUAUAAUAGAAAACCAUUUUAAAUAGUUUUGUUUGGUACUUACAAAAAUUAUAAGAAAAGAAACAGAGAAAUCAAAUUUGGCAAGAGGUAGAGUAUGUCUCUAUGUUUAGAUCAUAUUAAUUAUUUCAUCGAUCUCAAAUUCUCAAUUUAAUUUAAAUUUUGAAUAUUAAUUCAAGUCAUUUUGAUUUUUGUACAAAUUCAACGUAUAAACAAUUCGUUUGUCACCCAUACUAACACAAAUAUGUAUGAUUACUGGUGUAGAACAUGCAAAUGAUGCCAAACUUCUAGGAAUAGGAUUUCAAGGAUAUUUAGGAGAUGGAAUAGGAGGACUUCCGGGAAUAGGAGGACUUUCAAGAUCAAGAUUUGGAGGAGUCGGGUUUCCAUGGGGAGGAUAUGGUGGUUAUGGUGGUGGUCGUGGAUAUUAUGGUGGUUAUCCAAGAGGAGGAUAUGGUGGGUUUUAUCCUCGAAUUGGUUAUGGUGGAAGAGGAUGUUUUAUCGAAAAAAAAUGAUUUGCGAAAAGGAGCUUGUUUUAUUUUCGACUUUAGGAGUCGCCACUUAAUUUUUUAAGGAAAAUUAAGAAAACUUAUUUUCAAACAAUUAAACAGAAAAAUUGUGUUGAAAAUAUUUAAAUGGGUUCGGGAUUCAUAUUAGUGUCUUAGGAAGGUGUUGAAGGCACCUAAGACACUCCGUUAAAUACGAUUUUCCAACGACUAACUAUUUGACUAUUUUUGUUUUAACUUUUGCAAUUUUGAACUUAUUGAUUUUUAUCUAGGCAAGUUUGACAAAUUCUGAAACACUUAUUAUUUUAAGAUUCCAUUAAAGUUAAAACCUUUUAAACUUAACUCUAAGCAACCUUCAAAUUUAAACCCUUAUUGUUUUAAAGUUUCAAAUUUACGCUUUAAUUUUGAUAAAGUAAAAGGCGUUUGAUGGGGUUUGGAGUUUCUGAUCCUAGACUAUACGACAUUCAAAACAAAAACGACAUAAGCACGUAAUAAAGACAGAGAGAGAGGGAGAGAGAGAGAGAUUCGGGUCCAAGUUUCGGAUGCUGUUCACCUUGGCCGAAACUCGAACCCACCUGCUUUUUGGGUUUUUAACCCAUUUUUGUACCUAACCUAAUCUAAACAUAUAAAGGAAGUACGACAAAAUAAAAUAAGAACAACAAGGCUUAUGCCCAUUACAAAUAAAAAUAUACUAAAUGAAUGGAAAGGUCUUCCAAUCCGUCUUCUUCAAAUCUCUUCAACCUUCGUAGGAUUUGCUUGGCAUGUCUAUCCUGAUGGUUUGACUCGAAUGAAGAGAGUUUCAAGCCUUUACGGCUCUUCCGAAUGCGUAGGAAAAGAUAGAGCCCCAAAGUGGACUCGAAAAAGUAUUUCACAUGCAACAAAAAUAAAGGCAGUAUGAAAACAAGCGGAAUCUCGCAGAACAAAGAAGCAAAGAUUAUACAAAACUACUGUUAUUCAUCAUCUAGGACUAACUCAUUUAUGUAUAUCACUGGAAACAACAAGUUAUAAUACCCAUCAAUCAAAGUUUUUAAUAAUGACGCAUUCUUAACCAAUAAACUAACAUGACGAAAAACCAUACCACGGAAAGAAAAGGAAAGAAAGAGAAUUCAUACAUGCUGUUUCGAAUUUAAAUGUAAGCAUACGGGUUCAAACAUCUUUUGAAACUCAACAGGUGCUUAGCAUAUUCAUCUCUAGUUAAUUGAAGAGUCAAAAUGAUUAACAUGGUAAUACAAUACAUGGUUCAAACAAUACACACUCACUAUUCAUCACAAACAAGACUAGCCGUAACAGCAUGUUUUCGCCACGAUGAGGGCUAAAAAUAUUCGAACUUGCAAGUGUAUGUUACAAACCAAAACUAAACAAAAUUUCCUCUCUAGUCAUUGACGGUGAAUAUCAUUGAAACGGGAUCAUGAAUUUGGGAUGAGAAGCGUCAAGAACCUUCAAACAAAAGAACAAAAGAAGUGGCAGUCGGAAAAUGCGGACUGGAAAACAGAUUUCAUCAUUUAACUUCAGCUAAUCAAUAAGUAAAAUGCAGCUCGCAAUACUACUAUAAGCGACCCUUUCAGUUGAGAUUCAGACGAAACGACACAAACGACGAGUGUAACGACCAAACACAACAUGCGAUGUGACUCGAACACAAACAAAGCCAACAAGUAUAAUCUUCUACACUCACUGCGAGCAAGCCAUACAUACUCAACACCCGAACAUUUAACAUGCUUGACAAAGGGAAAAAAAAAAAAAAAAGAGGACCAGCAUACUGAAUGGGCAACAUCAUACAUAACGGUUUCAACUAUUAACCCGAAAGAGGCUCCAGUCACAACAAUGAACCAUCACGUCAAAAACAACAUGAACAAGGAGUGUUCGGAAAGGGAAAACAGUAAGCAACAGAACAACAUAACCACGAAUUUUCAAACGGUUUCUUCACUACAUCGAGUCAACAACAGCUACAACCAACCUAAACAACGAAGUGCAAACAACAGAUACAACUAAAAAAUCGAGAGUUGAAACGAAUGUUACCUUUUUCGGAGCAGCGAACGGAACAGGGACGAGCAGCAACAGCAGCGACUUCCACACGCGAACGGCUAAACGUUCUUAUGGACUGGUGUCGCCGGAAUGGAAGACGAUGUCGCGAUUGACACUGAGGCGAGAAGCUCUGGUUUUGAAUGUUCUCAGCCAACAGUCCGAAAAGGCGAACGAAGAAGGGGGAGAAUCUUCGAAUUCGAUAUCCUCCUUCGUUCUUCUACAGCAAAAGGAAAAGAGACCAAAGUACUCUCGAAAGUGCGCAACAAACAGAUAGCAAAAUUUCUUUUUCCAGAAUUUUCCAACAAAAGAGAAUCUUAAAAAAAAAUCCUCUCUUAAGCCUUUCAAACUCAAAAUUUCCCAAUCUCAAAGUUUUCAACCAAAAUUCUAACCAAGAAGAAAAACAGUAGAAGAGACCAGUGAGAAAAUCUAAGUCAAAUUUUCCCUCUAUGCAAUCUUUUCGACAAAAUCUCUAAGUAUCUAAUGAUUUUUCCACUCCGAAAAUUCCAACCAAAAUCGCUAACCCCUUUUCUUGAGGACGAAAGGGGUUUAUAUAGGGGGAUAUUAAGGUUUUUCGGAAGAGGGAGGGCGGGAACGUGACUAUUGAUUUCAAAUUUGAAAUCUCUUUCAUUAAUGGAGCCACACUUUUCCUGAAGAUUUCGUCUUUUUUGGAAAAUGGAAAAAGGGAGGGGAAUGGCUAGGAUCGCUCCAAUCGUCCUUGAGGGGAGACGUGGAUCGAUCUCGCGCCCUCAAGGACGAAAAUGCGUCUGGCACAGACGAAAACACAGGUCUGCCAUAGCCGAAAGCAGGUCUGCUGCGAUGGGUUGAAGAAGGAGACGUUGGUGGAGAGAGAAGUCGCGUGGGGAGACGAGAAACGCGGCUGGAGGCUACUUUUCGUACGCAGACUCUGCGUUCUCUGGUGAUUUCUGGAAAUGGCGUAGGUGUUCCGUUUUUCUGGGUAGCGAGAGGGGAAGCUCGCGUGGGGAGACGCGAGGAGAGGAGGAGAGGAAGGGAGAGAGCGUGAGGAAGACGCGAGGGUGUUGGGAGAGGGGGAAGAUUUUUUUGUUUUUUUUGGAGUACUGUCGCGUCUGCAUUUUCUGUUUCUGGGGAUUUUUGGCGUGGUGUGAAGGGAAGAAGAAAGGGGGAAACGGGUUAUUGGGUUGGGUCGGAGCGGGUCAUAAGGGUUUGGGUCGUUGGGUUUGAAUUGGGUUGGGUAUUGGAUUGGUGUUUAAUGAAUUGGGUAUUUAGGUGUGGGCUGAGGGAAAUUUGGGCUGUUGGAUAGAGAAUGGGCCUCAGAAUUGAGGUGGGGUUGACAAGGGGAAAGGGAAAUGGGCCGCUCAUCCUUUGGGCCUGGGGCGGCUGGAAAGGAGAGGGGGGGGAAGCUGGUAGGUUGGAGAAGGGCCCAAUUUCGGCUCUAAAGUGAAUAUAAGGGAAAACAAGUCAAAUUUAAGAAGAGUCAAUCGAUUUAAAACGGAUUUGAUAUAAAUUCAUUAACGAGCCUAUUUAUUUAUUAACAUAACUAUUUAAAUUAUAAAACAAUGAUUCAAAAUAAUUCAUUUAAAACAAGCUAGCUAAACAAAGCCUUUAAAUGUAUAUUUUUUGGUGGUUUUGAAUAAUCAUGAGAUACGACUUAUAUACAUAAUUAUGUAAAUAUGUAUAUCACCCGAAAAUUAUGGCAAAAGUACUUGAAAUAACAUAAAAUUCACGUAUUAUAUUAUUUAAUUUUUGCAAAAUUUAUAAAAUUAAUUAAUUAAAAUUAUCUGGGAAAUUUAGGAAGCUCGAUAAUUAAUUUAUACCGCGCCGGUCAAAAAUUGGGUGUCAACAACUGUCCCUCAUUUUACUUGGGUUGAUGCAAGCAACUCGAGGAAAAUGAAAUUGACCACCAAUUUUGGCCAACCCUCUUCAUUUUAAAGAAAGUAUUCGACACAGGAUUUAGGAACUAUGGCCGAACCCUUGAAAGAGGUUUCCUACAUAUCUCAGGCUAUAUGAGAAUUCAGGCCACUUGUAGUUCGAUAAGCUUGAUUUAUCGCAUGAUUUUGAAAGAAUCAAAAGCCACCUCGACACCGAAUUAUGAAGGCGCCGAAAUACUCGAGAAUAGGAUUUGAGAGCGAAUGUUGGAAUACAGCCGAGUUUUCAACAUUGAAUCCGUCUACAUAUCCCUAAACCUUCGAAAUCAGGCUGUGUGUAGUUUGACUCGAUAGGUGGAAAAGGAAAUCUAUUACGCUAGAUAACCUUCGGUUUUGGACAAGUGACAUGUUGAACGAGUAUGAAAAAGAGGCUUGUAACCUCUUAUCCAUGAAUGUGGCGCGCUUCACACCCAUAAUUAAGAACUUACACGGACAUAAUUUCCAAAGCUCUUGGCGAGUUGUCACUCAGAUUGGAAACUUGCUUCCGAUGAGACUAAACUUCCGGAUGCGAGACAGAAACUGACAGAACUAAGGAAAAACUCGUGUGCUUCGAGAGGGGUGGUUCGAUUGUGGUGGAAGUCGCUCUCCUGCUCGCGUCCUAAGAGUUUGACACUCCUCUUCGGACUGUGUCCCAGUUCGCUGCUAAGAAAAAGUUCCACGUUGUGCUGCAUCCUUUUUGAUGUCAUCCGCACCUGUGGUUUUUGGAGAAUUCAUCCUUUCGGAUGCUCUCGACAAAGACUGAGAUAAAACUCAUCAGCUUAAGAAAUGCAAUUAGGAUGGGAGACAGUGUCUUUUUACCAUAUAGACACUUCAUUGUUCUCCACAAUAUUCGACGUCGACUCAAUCGGUCCGACAUCUAGCAAAUAAAGCUUAUGCCUUGUGUUUUGCAAUAUGAUCUUCAAUGUAUUCCAUACUUGAUGUUGAAAUAAAUAAACAAAUGCUGAUGCGAUAUUGAUGUUUCUUUUGUUGUCAUCUUCGAUGCUCUCCUUGAUUUUACUUUUAUAAGAAAUAACAGAAUGCAGUCGAGGCCAAUGGAUAAGUAUUGCUCUUUCUUUAUCCAUGUACGUCCUCUUGCGGGGCAUGAAUAUCUUCCCGCAAUACGUAAAUUCCCGUGAGAAAUGAAUCUUCUCGCGAUGCAUAACUUUCAGCGAGGAAUAAAACCUUCUCGCGAUGUGCAAAUUUGACGAGGCAUGAAUUCUUCUCGUCGUGCAUAAAUUUUGACGAGGCAUGAAAUCUUCUCGUCGUGCAUAAUUAAUGACUCGCGAUGCAUGAUUUCCACGAUGCAUGAUUUUCAACGAGGCAUGGAUUCUUCUCGUGAUGCAUAAAUUCCAGCGAGGUAUGAAGUCUUCUCGCGAUGUAUAAAUUUUGACGAGGCAUGAAACCUUCUCGUCGUGCAUAAUUAAUGACUCGCGAUGCAUGAUUUCCGCGAUGCAUGAUUUUCGCUAUGCAUGAAUUCCAGCGAGGCAUAAAUCCUUCUCGCGAUGUAUAAAUUUCAGCGAGGUAUGAAGUCUUCUCGCGAUGCAUAAAUUUUGACGAGGCAUGAAAUCUUCUCGUCGUACAUAAUUGUCAGCAAGGGAUAAGGUCUUCUCGCGAUGCAUAAAUUUUGACGAGGCAUGAAAUCUUCUCGUCGUGCAUAAUUAAUGACUCGCGAUGCAUGAUUCCGCAAUGCAUGAUUCCGCGAUGCAUGAAUUCCAGCAAGGCAUAAAUUCUUCUCGCGAUGUAUAAAUUCCAGCGAGGUAUGAGGUCUUCUCGCGAUGCAUAAAUUUUGACGAGGCAUGAAAUCUUCUCGUCGUGCAUAAUUAAUGACUCGCGAUGCAUGAUUCCGCGAUGCAUGAUUUUCAGCGAGGCAUAAAUUCUUCUCGCGAUGUAUAAAUUUUGACGAGGCAUGAAAUCUUCUCGUCAUGCAUAAUUAUUGACUCGCGAUGCAUAAUUUCCGCGAUGCAUGAUUCCGCUAUGCAUGAUUCUGCGAUGCAUGAUUUUUCAGUGUAUAAAUUCCGCGAUGCAUGAAUAUUUAUAUCGCUCCCGUGGAUAGUAACGGCAAGACGACCUCCAAAUAAUAUAUCGCCUUGAUCGAUAAUGAUAAAAAUAAUAAUUGCAUAGCUGCCUCUUCUAAGGUAAUGCAUUGUCUUGAUCGACAAUAAUCAUCUUGCUUCGAUAACGCAAUGCAAAUAGCGUCUUCUAUAGAAAUCGUGAAAUCUUCGCUGAGAUUCCUUUUUGAUUCACCUUUGAAUCUGGCCAGGCACUUUGUAAAUUUCAUGUAUUGGGGAAUGACUUGAAAUAAACAAACACAUUCACAAGCAUCUUGGCAUAAACGAUAUGAAAUGCUUCUUGCUUUCAAUAAAAUCACUGGUUUUGGAGAUAGUUUUCUCCUUCUCCGUAUUCAUCAGUCGGAAGAAUUCAGCCGAUUUUGAAGCGAAGCUAUAAACCUGCAUCCACAGAAAAAUUGUCAGUUUUAAACAUACUGAUCUGUGUCGAUCCCUUCGGUUGUUUGCUCCUUGUCUUGAUGUCUCCGGUUGAUUUCCCGAUUUCCUGACUCUUGAUAGAUAAGAAAAUAUCUUAUGCCAAAACAGAUGAAAUAUAAAAGGGAAAUUUUUAAGAGAAACAAGAGAAUUUUUUUUUAAAAAUAGUAUCUUGAAAAAGUCACUGCCAAGUCAUGUCAUGUCAGGCUUAACGAGCUCUUUUGAGUUCGACGCUUAUCGAAUGAAUUUCAGAGGCAUUCCGGACUUGCAUGGAAGACCCAUGACGAAAUUUUGAGGCCAUCCUCAAAAUUUCUGCCCCAGUUUAGUAUCUUGGUCAUCUUUCCAUUGUAACCGAACAAAUCGCGGAAUUUUUGAGAUCUCCUCAAAAAUUCUGUCCCAGUCGCAAAUUCGAAAUGUCUUUAGUUUGAUCCGCUAAAGAGAAGGUUCCUUCUGGAGAAUUUUUGAGUCCCUCUCAAAAAUUCUGUCCCAGUUUCUAUUGUAGAAGGGGAAAUAGAACUUACGAGAUAUAUGACCGAGCCCUUGUGGCGCCUACGUAUCCCGUUGAGGCAGGAAUCAGGUCAAACGUAGUUCCCCUUAAAGGUUAACAAGAAUAAAAUUUACAAAGAAACUGACAGAGGCCGACAAAGGCCGCCUACGUAUCUCAUUCUUGAGAAUUCAGGUCGAACGUAGUUCAAAUACAGAGAAAUGAUUAAGGAGGAAAAUGGGGUGACCGAAGCCGACAUAGGCCGCCUACGUAUGUCGUUCUCGAGAAUUCAGGUCAGACGUAGUUCGUUACGGGAGGGAUAAGAGUUCAAAUUCGAACAAAUACAAGCAAACAGAAGAUUACAAGUAAAUGAUGGAAAAUGCAAAACGAACUUCACGCGUAGUAUCUCUUGACAGCAUCUGAGUUGAUAGGCUUGGGCCAUAUAGCACCAUCCAUCUCUGACAAGACUAAAGCACCUCCACAUAGUACUUUGCGAACCAUGUAAGGACCUUGCCAGUUUGGUGCGAACUUUCCUUUGUAUUCGUCUUGAUGAGGAAAAAUACGCUUAAGGACCAACUGACCAACUUCGAAAUUUCUGGCUCUUACUCUUUUGUGAAAAGCGCGAGUCAUUCUUUGUCUAUACAACUGGCCAUGACAGACGGCGACCAUUCUCUUCUCAUCAAUCAAAGCUAGUUGAUCAACCCGUUUGCUAACCCACUCCGCGUUGCUUAACUCAGCUUCUUGGAUGAUCCUCAAUGAUGGUAUCUCGACUUCGACAGGUACGACUGCUUCUGUUCCAUAUACUAGAAGGUAUGGAGUAGCCCCAGUCGAUGUUCUGACCGUUGUUCGAUAACCUAGUAGAGCAUAUGGCAACAUUUCAUGCCAACCUCGCUGCUUGUCGAUCAUUUUCCUUAGAAUCUUUUUGAUAUUCUUAUUGGCGGCCUCUACAGCUCCGUUCAUUUGAGGGCGAUAAGCAGUUGACCUUCGAUGAAUAAUCUUGAAUUGUUCACAUAUCUCUUUCAUCAGAUGACUGUUGAGAUUUGCACCGUUAUCAGUGAUGAUGGAUUCUGGAACUCCAAAUCGGCAUAUCAGAUUGUUGCGGACAAAGUCGGCCACCACUUUCUUGGUUACCGACUUGUAAGAGGCUGCUUCCACCCACUUGGUGAAAUAAUCAAUGGCAACCAAAAUGAAUCUGUGUCCAUUAGAAGCGGCUGGCUCUAUAGGACCGAUGACAUCCAUUCCCCAGGCUACAAAUGGCCAAGGUGAACUCAUAGCAUUAAGUUCGUGAGGUGGCACCCGUAUCAGAUCGCCGUGCACUUGACAUUUGUGGCAUUUUUGUACGAAUUUGCAACAGUCGUUCUCCAUAGUCAUCCAGAAAUAACCGGCUCGAAGAAUCUUUCUUGCUAAAGUAAGCCCGUUCAUGUGUGUACCACAAACUCCAGCAUGUAUCUGCUCAAUAAGCCUCAUAGCUUCAGCAGCAUCUACACAUCUUAAAAGACCCAGAUCUGGAGUCCUCCUAUACAGGACUUCUCCAUUCAAAAAGAAAUUGAGAGCCAUACGACGUAUCGAUUUCUUUUGAUUAGAUGUAGCGUCUUCUGGAUAUGUCCCAGACUCUAAGUAUCUCUUUAGGUCAAAAUACCAAGGCAAACCAUCUGGUUCUGAUUCCACGUGUGAACAAUGGACGGGAUGCUCCUUCAAAUCUAUAUCCAGAGGGUCAAUAUAAUCAGCGUCCGGAUGUUUGAUCAUUGAAGCGAUGGUGGCAAGAGCAUCAGCUAAUUCAUUCUGUAUUCGGGGAGUAUGUCUGAACUCGAUCUUGUGAAACCUUUUACACAGGUUUUGCACAUAUUGUACAUAAGGUACAAUCUUCGGGUUCUUCACAGCCCAUUCUCCUUGAACCUGGUGAAUCAAGAGGUCUGAAUCCCUAAUAACCAGUAACUCGUAAACAUUCAUGUCAACGGUCAUCUUCAAACCGAGAAUGCAAGCUUCAUACUCAGCCAUGUUGUUUGUGCAGUUGAAUCGUAGCUUAGCCGCCAUAGGAUAGUGCUGACCAGAUUCUGAUACCAGGACUGCUCCAACACCUUUACCCUGGUGAUUCACCGCUCCAUCAAAGAAUAAUCUCCAACCUGGAUAAGCUUCAGAGAUAUCUUCACCCACAAAGGACACUUCUUCAUCGUGGAAAUAUGUCUUGAGAGGUUCAUACUCUUCAUCAACGGGAUUUUCCACAAGAUGAUCAGCCAAGGCUUGUGCCUUUAUUGCCUUCUGAGUCACGUACACGAUGUCAAACUCACUCAACAGCAUUCGCCAUUUAGCUAACUUCCCGAUCGGCAUCGCUUUCUGGAAAAUAUACUUCAAUGGAUCCAUUCUGGAGAUAAGAUAUGUAGUAUACGACGACAAAUAGUGCCUCAGCUUCUGGGCAAGCCACGUCAGAGCACAGCAUGUUCUUUCCAGCAAAGUGUAGCGAGACUCGUACGGAGUAAAUUUCUUGCUGAUGUAGUAGAUAGCCUUUUCCUUCUUCCCUGUCUCGUCGUGUUGACCAAGUACGCACCCAAAGGCGUUAUCUUAGACAGACAAAUACAGCAACAAAGGACUCCCUUCUCGCGGAGGAACCAAUACUGGUGGGUUAGACAAGUAGCUCUUGAUAGCGUCGAAAGCGGUCUGGCACUCCUCAGUCCACUUAGUUGGGGCAUCUUUCUUCAGCAACUUGAAGAUAGGCUUACAUACCACUGUUGAUUGUGCUAUAAACCGGCUGAUAUAGUUUAACCUCCCCAAGAAACUCAUCACCUCUUUUCUCGUCUUCGGCGGAGGUAACUCCUGAAUUGCUUUAAUCUUGGAAGGGUCGAGCUCAAUACCUCUUCUGCUGACUAUAAACCCCAACAACUUCCCAGCUGGGACUCCAAAAGCACAUUUGGCGGGAUUUAGCUUCAAGUUGUACCGACGCAAAUGUUCAAAGAAUUUCUUCAGGUGUGUCAAAUGAUCCGAACUCUCGCGGGAUUUGAUUAUGACAUCGUCCACGUACACUUCAAUUUCCUUGUGAAUCAUGUCAUGAAAGAUGGUUGUCAUGGCUCUCAUGUAAGUAGCACCGGCGUUCUUGAGGCCGAACGGCAUUACCCUGUAGUGAUACACACCCCAAGGUGUGAUGAAUGUCGUUUUUUCUGCGUCUUCUUCAUCCAUCAAGAUUUGGUGAUAACCCGCGUAACAAUCCACAAAUGACUGCAUCUCAUGUUUGGCACAGUUGUCAAUCAAAAUAUGGAUAUUUGGCAACGGAAAAUUAUCCUUCGGACUAGCCUUGUUGAGAUCUCUGUAAUCAACACAAAUCCUGAUUUUUCCAUCUUUCUUGGCGACCGGAACGACAUUCGCCAACCAGGUGGGAUAUUGCGUUACUUCUACCAACCGAGACUCUAUCUGCUUGGUGAUUUCCUCCUUAAUCUUCAAGCUCAAUUCAGGCUUGAAUUUCCGAGUCUUUUGCUUCACCGGCUCGAACCCUGGGUUGAUAGGCAGCUUAUGAGAUACGACAUCAGUACUCAGCCCCUGCAUGUCACUGACCUCCCAAACAAACACAUCGCUGUAUUCGGCAAGCAAAUGAACCAGGCUCUCCUUCUGAGUUUCAUUCAGGUGAGUGCUGAUCUUAACCUCUUUGACACAUUCUGAGUCUCCCAAAUUUACCGUAUCUGUUUCCUCCAGAUUCGGUUUAUGUUGAUUCUCGAACUGUCAAAACUCUUCUACCACAUAGUCUGGUUCCCCACUUUCUUCGUCGUAGUCGUCAGCCUCGUCGUCAUUAGCCUCAUUUUGCUCGUUUAGCUCAUGACAUGACAUGACAUUGGCAAUUUUUGUAACUUACGUUACACAGAGUUUGGGGCAUCAGGAUCGGCGUGGACGUCCAAUUUUGCAGCAUCUCCCCUGGUUCAACAUCACGAAUGCCUGCUGGCUCAGCCUCCUCCUCGAUGACGGAAUUGUUCUCCUUGAAAAGGCCACAGAUUUCUUUCCCGCCAUCUUCGUCUAUUUCUAUCAUGUUGGUGUUUCCACCCCCAUGAUUUGGCAACGGAUUCGUGUUGACGUUCGGCGCCGCAGGCUGAAGGGAGACCACUUCCUGGUCAAUCAGAUCCUGGAUCUUGUGCUUGAGGUUGAUGUAGUCUUCAGUAUCAUGUCCAACACUGUUGGAAUGAUAAGCACAUCUCUGCUCCGGUCUGUAGAAUCUAGAGUUGACAUCCACGAGCUUGGGCCCCACAGGGUGGAUGUAUCCGGCCGCAGACAAUCUUUCAAACAACUUGGUUCUGCUUUUAGCCAACACGGUGAAGCUUCUGGAGGGCUUCUUCUCAAAAUUGGGGCGAGGGGGAUCAUACCCGCUCUGUUGAGGGGGAGGGACUUUUUGGUAAUUGCGGGCAUUGGGUCGUGGGGCUUGGUAAUUUGGAUGGGGGCUUUGAUAUGCUGGGGUUCGUAUUUGAUACGCGGGGGACGGUGCUCGAUAGCUUGGAUGUAUAUUAGCGCAGCUGGGAGCGACAUUCUGGUAAUGGGAAGGGACUUGAUAAGCUUGGGGGUAGUUUGGAUAUAUGGAGGGAAAAUUUUGGGGAAUCGGGGGUGGAUUCUGAUACGACAAAAUAUGGGCAUCUGGAUAAGGGGGCAGCAUUGUAGUGGCCGGAAUGAUUUGAUUGUGGAUGGUAAGCUUGAUGAGGCUUUGAUGGAGGGUUGAAGCGGCCUUGGGGACGUGGUAAGUUUCUGGGGGCCUUUCUUCCCCUGUGUGAGAUAGCGUUAACCUCCUCUCUUUUCUUCCUUACCAAUCCGGAAGACCCAGGUGAUGCAGACACUCGGGCUAUCUUUCUCGACUUCAGGCCAUCUUCGAUAGUCUCACCUACUUUGACUAUCUCAGCGAACUUGGCGCCGAUUAAUAAGAUGACUCUGUCAUAAUACUCGGGCUCCUGCACCCGUAUGAACACCUCUACAAUCUCUUUCUCUGUCAUCGGAGGCCUCACCCUCGCCGCCUCUUUCCUCCACCUGUACGCGAACUCUCGAUAGCUUUCUGUGGGCUUCUGCUUCAUCUUCUCCAAGGAGUACCGAUCAGGGACUAUCUCGACGUUGUAUGUGAAUCUGUCGAUGAACUCCUUAGCCAGUGCGCUCCAACUGGGCCAUUGCCGAGUCUCAUGUGACGUGAACCAUUCCAAGGCCUCACCGUACAGGCUCCGGCUGAACAACCUCAUCAGCAGCGCUUCAUCUUUGCCAACUCCCAUGAGUUGGUCACAGUACGCUCUUAGGUGUGCCAUGGGGUUGCCCACCCCUCCGAAGGUAUCAAACUUCGAGAUCUUGAACCCUUCAGGUAGGUUCAAGUCUGGGUGAAUGCAUAGUUCGCGUAGCUUAAACCGGCGACGUUUGGAGUGCAUUGUAAUUCUUUCAUUGCCCUUUUGAUCUCCUCCUUUAUGUCUACCUUCGCUUCUUCCCUCGCCCUCCACUCUCUUUCUUGCUCCUCAUAAUGGUCCAACUCGGAGCCGUGCACCUCAUGCUCGGCCGGGACAGGGACUUGGAAAGUGGUUCUUUUGGGAAGGGGUGGAGCUAUGAAAGGGCUUGGGACGUUCUGUGCGGUUUGAUAGUUUUGCGGAUCAUUUUGGGGAUUGGUAUUCUGGUUUAAGUGGGGAUGCGGUGUUUGGGAAUUGAGGGCGGUGGGAUUUUGGGUUUGAUUUUGGGGUAGUGGGGCUGUUUGAGUGUUGUGGGGAUGUCGUGGCAUUUGUGGAGGAUUGUUUGGAAGUGGUGAGGGAGUUUGAUAAGAGACUGAGGCGUAUUGGGGGUUUUGGGUGGUUAGAUCUAUCCCGGACGGGUUGUGCACGGGUGUCGAUGGACGGUGCUGAGUAGGAUCCGAGUUGGGCGAGGGGAAGUAUGUAGGCGGUCUCGCGUCGAGAAAGUUGGGGCCAAACCCGGGUGGAGGAGUGUCUUGCCUCCGUUGCAUCUCUACCCUCAUGUCAGCUAUUUGCAUCAUCAGCUGCGCAAUAAGCUCAUUCUGCUCUGUCGCGGUGGGCUGAGCCACCACGACGUCUGUGAGGCUGAUUUGUUCACUGUUAUCUCCCAUGUUUGUAUUUGCGUUCGGUCCGGGGAAGGAAUCUGCGAGACCUUUCGAUCUAGUAAAGUAGUGGUGAUCUGCCAGCUUUAUCGAUACAGAUCAGUAAUAGGUACCUGAAAGGUAAAAACAACUCAAAGGCAAAUUUGUUAGCGCAUAUUUGAGUACAAAAUACAUAAUAUCGCACAGCAAACAGAUUAAACACGCAAGUCGCUUUGUUUGAGGAUAUCUUAACCCACGAAUAAGGACGGAUAUAUAUUUUGAACAAACAGGAAUUUGUUUGUUUGGCGCUAUCUUGGGAAAUCUGAAUCACGUUGAGCUAUGAUCUUCUUGCAGCUGCUUCGCAACGUCCGUUGAUCUUAUCUUCGUAUCUCCGAAACAUGGAGGAGAAUGAAAAUUUCCUGUGAUAGGGGCCAGGCCGGGAAGGCUGCCUACGUAUCUCACAAGGAGAAUUCAGGCCCAACGUAGUUCGGAUCUAAGACCUUAGGGCGGUAUUUGUGAUAUGGGAAAUGGUUUUUUUUUUUUGAGUGAGAAACUUGAGACUCGAAAAUUUUGGUCGUACAUUUGUAAUAGUGGCUUCCGUACAUUUUGGAAUUUCUGGCUAGGAGUGGGUUUACAAUAUCCUCAUUCUAAGCAACAUGACACAUAAGCAUUUAAAUACACAUAUAUAUCGAAUGUCAAACAAUAUGAUGCGUCGUGAGGUCGAAGACCUUAGACGCGAUUUUGGCGAUUUUUCUACUAAAAUGGACUUAAUACGCCUUGGGUAUUAAGUCAUCCUAGGCUGAUGCCUAAUUUUGGUUUUGGUUACGCUCUAACCUAGUUUGACUAAGAGUGGGUUGUAUUUAAAGUGGAAUGGGUAACGCAAGCGGACUACUUGAGCUGGGACAAUUAACGAUCGUUGACUAUCAAGUAAUCAACUACACUCGUCAGGGUGCCCCGAGAAGAUUUUUGGUUAACGAACGACUGCGAACCCGCAUAAUCGUCCUUUAGUGGAAAUGUAAUAAGUGUCGUUUGACGGAAGUAUGAUAUGUUAUGCAUGCAACAGUUAAAAUCUGAAUAAUUUAAACACUUAAACAAUAAAUCACAAAUAAUCAAAUACGUAAUCUUAAGGUUAGAAUCCUCCAAUUCCCCAGCAGAGUCGCCAUUUCUGUUUUAUCGAAAAAAAAUGAUUUGCGAAAAGGAGCUUGUUUUAUUUUCGACUUUAGGAGUCGCCACUUAAUUUUUUAAGGAAAAUUAAGAAAACUUAUUUUCAAACAAUUAAACAGAAAAAUUGUGUUGAAAAUAUUUAAAUGGGUUCGGGAUUCAUAUUAGUGUCUUAGGAAGGUGUUGAAGGCACCUAAGACACUCCGUUAAAUACGGUUUUCGAACGACUAACUAUUUGACUAUUUUUGUUUUAACUUUUGCAAUUUUGAACUUAUUUAUUUUUAUCUAUGCAAGUUUGACAAAUUCUGAAACACUUAUUAUUUUAAGAUUCCAUUAAAGUUAAAACCUUUUAAACUUAACUCUAAGCAACCUUCAAAUUUAAACCCUUAUUGUUUUAAAGUUUCAAAUUUACGCUUUAAUUUUGAUAAAGUAAAAGGCGUUCGAUGGGGUUUGGAGUUUCUGAUCCUAGACUAUACGACAUUCAAAACAAAAACGACAUAAGCACGUAAUAAAGACAGAGAGAGAGGGAGAGAGAGAGAGAUUCGGGUCCAAGUUUCGGAUGCUGUUCACCUUGGCCGAAACUCGAACCCACCUGCUUUUUGGGUUUUUAACCCAUUUUUGUACCUAACCUAAUCUAAACAUAUAAAGGAAGUACGACAAAAUAAAAUAAGAACAACAAGGCUUAUGCCCAUUACAAAUAAAAAUAUACUAAAUGAAUGGAAAGGUCUUCCAAUCCGUCUUCUUCAAAUCUCUUUAACCUUCAUAGGAUUUGCUUGGCAUGUCUAUCCUGAUGGUUUGACUCGAAUGAAGAGAGUUUCAAGCCUUUACGGCUCUUUCGAAUGCGUAGGAAAAGAUAGAGCCCCAAAGCGGACUCGAAAAAGUAUUUCACAUGCAACAAAAAUAAAGGCAGUAUGAAAACAAGCGGAAUCUCGCAGAACAAAGAAGCAAAGAUUAUACAAAACUACUGUUAUUCAUCAUCUAGGACUAACUCAUUUAUGUAUAUCACUGGAAACAACAAGUUAUAAUACCCAUCAAUCAAAGUUUUUAAUAAUGACGCAUUCUUAACCAAUAAACUAACAUGACGAAAAACCAUACCGCGGAAAGAAAAGGAAAGAAAGAGAAUUCAUACAUGCUGUUUCGAAUUUAAAUGUAAGCAUACGGGUUCAAACAUCUUUUGAAACUCAACAGGUGCUUAGCAUAUUCAUCACUAGUUAAUUGAAGAGUCAAAAUGAUUAACAUGGUAAUACAAUACAUGGUUCAAACAAUACACACUCACUAUUCAUCACAAACAAGACUAGCCGUAACAGCAUGUUUUCGCCACGAUGAGGGCUAAAAAUAUUCGAACUUGCAAGUGUAUGUUACAAACCAAAACUAAACAAAAUUUCCUCUCUAGUCAUUGACGGUGAAUAUCAUUGAAACGGGAUCAUGAAUUUGGGAUGAGAAGCGUCAAGAACCUUCAAACAAAAGAACAAAAGAAGUGGCAGUCGGAAAAUGCGGACUGGAAAACAGAUUUCAUCAUUUAACUUCAGCUAAUCAAUAAGUAAAAUGCAGCUCGCAAUACUACUAUAAGCGACCCUUUCAGUUGAGAUUCAGACAAAACGACACAAAUGACGAGUGUAACGACCAAACACAACAUGCGAUGUGACUCGAACACAAACAAAGCCAACAAGUAUAAUCUUCUACACUCACUGCGAGCAAGCCAUACAUACUCAACACCCGAACAUUUAACAUGCUUGACAAAGGAAAAAAAAUAAAAAAAAAGAGGACCAGCAUACUGAAUGGGCAACAUCAUACAUAACGGUUUCAACUAUUAACCCGAAAGAGGCUCCAGUCACAACAAUGAACCAUCACAUCAAAAACAACAUGAACAAGGAGUAUUCGGAAAGGGAAAACAGUAAGCAACAGAACAACAUAACCACGAAUUUUCAAACGGUUUCUGCACUACAUCGAGUCAACAACAGCUACAACCAACCUAAACAACGAAGUGCAAACAACAGAUACAACUAAAAAUCGAGAGUUGAAACGAAUGUUACCUUUUUCGGAGCAGCGAACGGAACAGGGACGAGCAGCAAUAGCAGCGACUUCCACACGCGAACGGCUGAACGUUCUUAUGGACUGGUGUCGCCGGAAUGGAAGACGAUGUCGCGAUUGACACUGAGGCGAGAAGCUCUGGUUUUGAAUAUUCUCAGCCAACAGUCCGGAAAGGCGAACGAAGAAGGGGGAGAAUCUUCGAAUUCGAUAUCCUCCUUCGUUCUUCUACAGCAAAAGGAAAAGAGACCAAAGUACUCUCGAAAGUGCGCAACAAACAGAUAGCAAAAUUUCUUUUUCCAGAAUUUUCCAACAAAAGAGAAUCUUAAAAAAAAUCCUCUCUUAAGCCUUUCAAACUCAAAAUUUCCCAAUCUCAAAGUUUUCAACCAAAAUUCUAACCAAGAAGAAAAACAAUAGAAGAGACCAGUAAGAAAAUCUAAGUCAAAUUUUCCCUCUAUGCAAUCUUUUCGACAAAAUCUCUAAGUAUCUAACGAUUUUUCCACUCCGAAAAUUCCAACCAAAAUUGCUAACCCCUUUUCUUAAGGACGAAAGGGGUUUAUAUAGGGGGAUAUUAAGGUUUUUCGGAAGAGGGAGGGCGGGAACGUGACUAUUGAUUUCAAAUUUGAAAUCUCUUUCAUUAAUGGAGCCACACUUUUCCUGAAGAUUUCGUCUUUUUUGGAAAAUGGAAAAAGGGAGGGGAAUGGCUAGGAUCGCUCAUAUCGUCCUUGAGAGGAGACGUGGAUCGAUCUCGCGCCCUCAAGGAAGAAAACGCGUCUGGCACAAACGAAAACACAGGUCUGCCAUAGCCGAAAGCGGGUCUGCUGCGAUGGGUUGAAGAAGGAGACGUUGGUGGGGAGACGAGAAACGCGGCUGGAGGCUGCUUUUCGUACGCAGCCUCUGCGUUCUCUGGUGAUUUCUGGAAAUGGCGUAGGUGUUCCGUUUUUCUGGGUAGCGAGAGGGGAAGCUCGCGUGGGGAGACGCGAGGAGAGGAGGAGAGGAAGGGAGAGAGCGUAAGGAAGACGCGAGGGUGUUGGGAGAGGGGGAAGAUUUUUUCGUUUUUUUUUGGAGUACUGUCGCGUCUGCAUUUUCUGUUUCUGGGGAUUUUUGGCGUGGUGUGAAGGGAAGAAGAAAGGGGGAAACGGGUUAUUGGGUUGGGUCGGAGCGGGUCAUAAGGGUUUGGGUCGUUGGGUUUGAAUUGGGUUGGGUAUUGGGUUGGUGUUUAAUGAAUUGGGUAUUUAGGUGUGAGCUGAGGGAAAUUUGGGCUGUUGGAUAGAGAAUGGGCCUCAGAAUUGAGGUGGGGUUGACAAGGGGAAAGGGAAAUGGGCCACUCAUCCUUUGGGCCUGGGGCGGCUGGAAAGGAGAGGGGGGGAAGCUGGUAGGUUGGAGAAGGGCCCAAUUUCGGCUCUAAAGUGAAUAAAAGGGAAAACAAGUCAAAUUUAAGAAGAGUCAAUCGAUUUAAAACGGAUUUGAUAUAAAUUCAUUAACGAGCCUAUUUAUUUAUUAACAUAACUAUUUAAAUUAUAAAACAAUGAUUCAAAAUAAUUGAUUUAAAACAAGCUAGCUAAACAAAGCCUUUAAAUGUAUAUUUUUUGGUGGUUUUGAAUAAUCAUGAGAUACGAGUUAUAUACAUAAUUAUGUAAAUAUGUAUAUCACCCGAAAAUUAUGGCAAAAGUACUUGAAAUAACAUAAAAUUCACGUAUUAUAUUAUUUAAUUUUUGCAAAAUUUAUAAAAUUAAUUAAUUAAAAUUAUCUGGGAAAUUUAGAAAGCUCGAUAAUUAAUUUAUACCACGCCGGUCAAAAAUUGGGUGUCAACAAAGGAUACCCUAGAGGUGGUUGGUAUGGAGAAUUGCCUCGCAGCUAAUUAAAUAAUUACAUACUGAGGAAUAUUUAUGUAUAUCCCUCUAAUGUAUCAGUUAUUAUGUUCACGAUAAAUAUUGAGUAGCCAAGUAUUAUUCAUAUCUAUAUAUAUUUGUAUUGUGUGUUUAAUUAAUAGGUAACGUAGUUUUGUUGUUGAAAGUAUGAAUAAAUAAAUGUAUCAUAAAUCUCCAUUCACUUACUAUGGAUGGAUGUUCAUGAUCAUGUAAUGUUUCUUUAAAUAAUAAUAUAAUUAUCAUAGAAUUUAAUUUCUUUACGUCCUUUUCCGUCUACGUAUUAUUAUUCCAAUGAUCCAAAUAGUUUAAGUGAAGUUGAAUUUUUAGUUGUAUUUGUUGACUAUAUUUCGCUUUACGUAAUAAUGGAGUUUAUAUAUUUUAGAUAAUUAAAUUUAGAUUUUUACUUUUUUCUAUUUCUAUUUUAAUAUACGAUACAUAUUUUAGGAUUAAAUAAAAUUUAAAUUUAUCGAAUAAUCCAAAGGAAAUGAAUAACCUGAUAUACAAGUGGGUUGCUUAAUUAUGAAAAAAGUCUUGUUACUGUUGGUAUGAGAUUAGUAACAGAUUUUUGAAUUCAAAGUAUAUAUAUAUAUAUAAUUAUAUAUAUUGGGACAAUACAUCGAAUUUCCUUAAAUUUGUUUCAAUUUUUCCAUUAGAUACUUAAUUAAACUUCAUUCAAAAAAAAGUACUAAUGAAAAACAAAUAGUGAAGAUCAGGGCAACAUCUCUCAAAUAACUCCAAAGGAAAUAAAUAACCUGAUCUACAAGUGGACUGCUUUAGAAAAAUUACCAUGUAUUUGAGAUCGCUUACUUCACUUCUUCUCUCGUUUGCAGAAAAAUCACCAUGUAUUUGGAAUUUCGUUCACCUCACUUCUUCUCUUGUUUGUCUCGUAUGAUGUAGCGGAUGCAAAAUUGUUAUUAAGAAUAUCAAUGGUUACAGUAAAAAAUACAAAAUUAUCGGGUCAUGUUAUGUUAUACAUGUGGAAUUAUUUUGUUUGGUGUUAGUGUCGCAUUCAAAAUUUAUUGUUGGUAUAUAAAAAUUAAUUCUCGCAAUAAUAGUUAUCAUCUAUAUAUAUUUUAGAUAAAUAACACGAAAAUGUACAAGUAUCCUUUUAGACUAUGAUCGAAAAUUCAGAGACACGCUUUAACUAAACUAAGGUCCUAUUACUUCCGAACUUAAUUUUUGUAAUUUUGUGCACCUUUUUGGCUUAUGUGACAGUCAAAUAUCUCUCACGCGCCUCAAUUGCGUGAAGUUACGGAGUGGGUCAUGUGAGACAAAAAGUAUACAAAAUUUAAAAAAAAAAAACACUAGUUCAGAAAUAAUGGAACCUUAAUUUAGUUAAAAUAUGUCUCUGAGAUUUCGAUUAUAAUUUAGAGAAAUACUUAUGCGUCUUCCCAUAAAUAAUCAAUAAUUCUUUUGAAAAUGAUUUAUUAUGUUAUUACAUGUUUUCUGUAACGAUAUUUCAUUAUAGUUGUAAAAAGUAUUUGGGCAAAUGACAUUUAUCAGUUUAGUUACAUUUACCAAAAAUUUCAGCACAAUUUAGAAAAUCGUGAAGAUGCACUUGUAAUUUCUUUCCCUCUCGUUUUAAAGUAGCUUGUAAUUUGCACCAAAGGUAUGUCUUGAUUUCCAUUUUUUCGAAAAUCAAAUUAAUUAAUCUAUGAAAUCAAUUUUUAUCAUAUUAACUUAAUAAAAUUAAAAGAGUUCGAGAAGUGAAAAACAAUAUAAAAUUAGUCAAUGGGGGAGUAGUUUAACAAUAAAUUGUGAAAUAAGAAGAAACAUAUGUUUGUCGUCAACACAUAUUCAAUAUAAUCAAGAACAAGAAGAAUUAUACAUUAUGGAAAAUUGAAAAUAUAUUAUCACAGUAUAUUGUGUUACAUUUUACAACAAAAUAUUACAUGAUCAACCAUACAUAUGAACUGAAUGAUGUUUUAUUCAUACGAUUUUAGAGUAGCAAGACCAUUACUAUAUCAUACAUCUUGCCACUACAUACAACGAUUUAUAAUAUUAUUUGAUGAUUUGUUCUGAGACAAUUGGCUAGUCACUUACUCAUGGCCACCAAUGGGAGGGUUGUAUGCACCACUUCAAGGCUUGUAUUUGUCAUUAGGGGGCUUAUAUUUGUCACUUGGAGAUUUGUAUUCAUUAUCAGGGGAUUUGUAUUUGUCACCUGGAAACUUGUAAUCGUCACUUGGGGGCUUAUAUUUAUCAUGUGAGGGAUUAUAGUUGUCACCUUCAUGUUUAUAUUCAUCUCUAUAAGGCUUAUAUUUGUCACGUGAGGGAUUAUAGUUGUCACCUUCAUGUUUAUAUUCAUCUCUAGGAGGCUUAUAUUUAUCAUGUGAGGGAUUAUAGUUGUCACCUGCAUGUUUAUAUUCAUAUCUAGGAGGCUUAUAUUUGUCAUGUGGAGAGUUAUACUUGUCACGUGGAUAUUUGUACUCAUCACUAGGGGGUUUGUACUUAUCAUAUGGGGAUCUAUAUUUGUCACCUGGAGAUUUGUAUUUGUCACCUGGAGACUUGUAUUCCUCACUUGGGGGCUUAUAUUUAUCACGUGAGGGAUUAUAGUUGUCACCUGCAUGUUUAUAUUCAUCUCUAGGAGCCUUAUAUUUAUCAUGUGGGAAGUUAUAUUUGUCACGUGAAUAUUUGUACUCAUCACUAGGAGGUUUGUAUUUGUCAUAUGGGGAUCUAUAUUUGUCACCUGGAGACUUAUAUUCUUCACUAGGGGACUUAUAUUUAUCACGUGGAGAGUUAUAUCCAGUAUUAUAUUUGCCACGUCCAUCACCAGAAUAUCCGCCAAUGCCAUUAUAUCCAUCAUGGUAUUCAUCAUUCUUGUCAUCCAAUUUCAUUGCUACAAAUAUCAAAUAUGAAAUUUAUAAUUAGCAUAACAUCGAAUAUAUAUCAAAUGAUUAUAUAAGAAAUACAAUAUAUAUUUCAAAGAGAUAACUAAUUAAAGAAAAAUAAUAGUAAUAAACUUACAGGUCUCACAGCUUAUCAUUGCAAAAAUAGCCAAAAGAAUGCCAAGAAAUAGAAAUUCCUUGGAACCCAUCAUUUUUUUUCUUCUUUAAAGCUUAGUUAUUUUAAUUAAAGGAUGAAGAAAUUGAAGCAACGUUGAGUUAUAUUUAUACUAAGAAUUCAAUGUAUUAAAAUUGAUAAAUGGUCACCUAUCACUUAUCUUGCUCAAUUGACACGCCAUGUAAUUAAUUAUAUUUCCUCCGUUUUAAUUUAUUUGAUUAUUUAAAUAUUCGUUUAAGAAAGGAAUUUAGUAUAGGACCACAAUGUUUAUAGUUAAUAAAAGAAAACAAUAUAUUAUUUAAUUAUAAUUUUAAAAAAUGAAUAUUUUAAUAAACACAUAUUUUAUGUUAUGAUGGGAGUGAAUCUCAAACAAAAGAGAGAAAUGUUUUUGUUAAAUAUAUUUUUAAUACUUAAAUAAAAUCCCUAAGAGUAAUAAAUAACUUAAAAAUAUUAUUAUAUUUAUCAUAAUGCAAAUUUCUACAUUUUUUUUACGUAAUUUGUUUUUCUUAGACUUUUUUUUUUGGGGGGGGGAAUUUGAAUAACAGAGACUAAUUCUCCAUUACUAAUAAAAAAAAGAUUCUUAAGUUUUACUUAAACACAAAUUGUUAUAAGUUAUAACCAUUCAAAGAACUUUUCAAAAACACGUUUGACAAAAUAAAAUACGUAGAAUUUAAAAGUUUUCCCAAAUAGGUUUUAAUUACUCAAAAAAUCUUUAUUGCUUUAGUUUUCUACUUCAUAUAUUUGAAGUAUUGCUAUCAAUUUUUGUGUUAGGUGCAAUUUUUGUGUUAGGUGAUCGAUAAGUAUCUUCUACUUUUAAUUUUACGUUUUUAAAUUCAAAAUUUGAGAUAAAAUUUUGAUAGAGAACACUUUAACCCUAAAGUGGAAUAUUCUUGUUAGAGGUAAAAGUAGAGUUGGUACAUCAGAUUUAUCUAAGUAAAAAUAGAAUUGGGACAUCGGAUUUAUCUGAACUUAAUCUUUUAAUGUGAGACAUAAAUUUCUAUUUAACAAUUUAUUCAUAUAGCAACAAAUGAUAUCUCUGAAUUCAUAACUUCAAAAUUACAAGUAAUUCAACACUAAAAACCUUAACCGUUAAGGUACUCGUAAUGUUUAAAUCUAAUUUUUAAGUUAAUUUGAAUCAAUCCACAUUAAUGGUGAAUCAUUUAAUUAAAUUAGUACAUAGAACACAUCAAAAUGUUUCAUAUUAACCGUGUAACAUCAAGUCAUUUCAUAUGAUUAAUUGGUAUUAAUAAUAAAUAUAACAAAUCAUAAGGAAAACUUGUGUUAAUUAAGUCAAACAUGAGAGGUUGUUUAUGAAAUUAUCAUUAAAAAGAUAAUUAACUUGAAAUACCUUAAUCUUGAUUGCUCAUAAAAGAGAGAUUUCGAAAUUUCUUGACUUAAAUCUUAUGUUUUCUUAAAAUAAAUAAAAUUUAGAAACCUUUCUUUAGUUUUAAAUUUAUUCACAUGGGUACAUGAGGAUCUAGCAAUUUUAUUACUGAUUUGCAUGAACUUGACGUUAUUCUAGGAACUCAUAAAUUUUAAGUUCAAAGUUUUCCUAUAAUGAUUAUUGGAUAUUUUCGUGGGAUAGUAAUUGUUAAAGUAUUGUUGUUUUGAAGUAUGGCAAAGUUAAGGAAAUUGUAGUAGUAAUAUGGCAAAAGAAAGAAGAUGUGUGUCUUAUUUGUUGAGUUCGAAAUGUAUAAUUGUCAUCAUCAAAAAGGGGGAAUUUGUUAGAAUGAUAAAGAUUUUGAUAAUUGACAAAUACAGAAACAGGUUGUACAGACGUGUUCCUUACAGAACGAAUCCGACUUGGAUAAGGAGAACGUCAACCACGUGAAUUAGAAGUUAUAAAGUUGUGGAAUUAUAAUUUUUUCGACAAGCAACAAGUACAAAAAGUUUCCUUUUGUAAAGGAGUUCAAAGUCAAGUGAAAGAAGGAAAACUAAUCCCUAUUUAAGGAAAUCUAUUUAAGGAAAUUGUAUAGAAAAGGAGUCCAAGUAGAAGUCAACAAGGAUUUGUAGAAGGCAAAUACAAGUUGAAUUAUACAAGAAUUUGUUGAAGUUCUGAUCUAUAAAUAGGGAGCUAUUUACAUAAAAAAAAAUUGCACACUUACAUAGAGAGAAGAUCAAAACACAAUCAAGAAGUUUAAAAGAGUUUAGAGAUUUAUUGGGAGUGUAGCAAUUUGUGAAUAAAAAUUGUAAGAUUGUAUCAAAGAGUCUUGUUUACAAUCUGAGUUUUGUGAGUAGGAGUUGUUCGACAAGUUGUAGAACUUGAAGAACAUUGGAACAUAUAUAACCGGGGGGUUCUGUGUCUUUGGGUAGCUAGAGUUAUUCUAGAAAUUAGAGUUUAUAAUUCCUUAGGUUACAUAGUUUUGUAAUUUUUUGUUGAAACUUGAAAUUUAAUAAAGUGGAGUUAAAUCCUACAGAGAUGUAGGUCGUGAUUUUUACCCUUGUGAGUUGGGGGUUUUCGCGAUAAAAUAUUGUGUCAUUAUUUUAUUUAUUUCACAAAACGUAAUUGUUGUAAUUUCUCAAAGGAACAUAUAGAAUAAACAUGUUUCUAAGACGAAUUUGGGGGUUAGAAUUCUAACAAUUGGUAUCAGAGCAGGUUAUCUUUGAAGAGUCUAACAACUCAAGAUAAGAUCAUAAUGAAUUUUGCACCUUCUCUUGGGCAUGGUCAAGGGCAACACUUCAACAGACCACUAUUAUUUAAUGGAGAAUACUACUCUUGAUGAAGACAAAAAUGAAAAAUUUCAUUCAAGCUGAAGAUUACGAACUAUGGGUUAGAAUUACUAAUGGACCAUUAAUUCCUACUAUUACUGAUAGUGAAGGGAAUAAGGUACCUAAACCUACAGAAAAGUACGGAGAAGCCGAUUACAAGAUGUUAGGAAAGAAUGCAAAAGCUAAGUGCAUUCUCGUAUGUGGAUUAGGACCUGAUGAGUUUAACUGCAUCUCUAGUUGUACCUCUGCAAAACAAAUAUGAGACAUUUUAAAAAACGCUCGAAGGUACAACUCAAGUUCGUAAAUUCAGAAUUGCCAGACUUUGUUCUGAAUAUAAAGCCUUCAAGAUAAAAUUCGGAGAAUCACUUCAAGAUAUGAUCACCAGAUUUACCAUUGUUGUAAACGAGUUAAUAUCCUUGGACAAAGUAUACACCACUGAGGAACAGAUAGACAAAGUACUAGGGACUUUGCCUAGAUCAUGGGAAAUAAAAGUUACUGCAAUCAGAGAAGUCAAAGAUCUAAUCAAUAUGACUUUGGAUGAAUUAGUAGGAAAUCUCAAGACUUAUGAGAUGAAUGUUGACAAAAGAGGUGAAGGAAACAAAGAGAAAAAUCUUGAAUUUAAAGCAACUGAAAGUGAUGAAUUUGACAUAGAUGAUGAUGAUCUUGCUCUGAUAAGUAAGAACUUCAAGAAACUCUUAAAAAGGAGAUUAAACGCUAGCAAGAAAUCACCACCCCAAAAAGUAAGAAAUAUUGAGAGACUAUUAAGCUAUAAUAGAAAACCAUUUUAAAUAGUUUUGUUUGGUACUUACAAAAAUUAUAAGAAAAGAAACAGAGAAAUCAAAUUUGGCAAGAGGUAGAGUAUGUCUCUAUGUUUAGAUCAUAUUAAUUAUUUCAUCGAUCUCAAAUUCUCAAUUUAAUUUAAAUUUUGAAUAUUAAUUCAAGUCAUUUUGAUUUUUGUACAAAUUCAACGUAUAAACAAUUCGUUUGUCACCCAUACUAACACAAAUAUGUAUGAUUACUAGUGUAGAACAUGCAAAUGAUGCCAAACUUCUAGGAAUAGGAUUUCAAGGAUAUUUAGGAGAUGGAAUAGGAGGACUUCCGGGAAUAGGAGGACUUUCAAGAUCAAGAUUUGGAGGAGUCGGGUUUCCAUGGGGAAGAUAUGGUGGUUAUGGUGGUGGUCGUGGAUAUUAUGGUGGUUAUCCAAGAGGAGGAUAUGGUGGGUUUUAUCCUCGAAUUGGUUAUGGUGGAAGAGGAUACCCUAGAGGUGGUUGGUAUGGAGAAUUGCCUCGCAACUAAUUAAAUAAUUACAUACUGAGGAAUAUUUAUGUAUAUCCCUCUAAUGUAUCAGUUAUUAUGUUCACGAUAAAUAUUGAGUAGCCAAGUAUUAUUCAUAUCUAUAUAUAUUUGUAUUGUGUGUUUAAUUAAUAGGUAACGUAGUUUUGUUGUUGAAAGUAUGAAUAAAUAAAUGUAUCAUAAAUCUCCAUUCACUUACUAUGGAUGGAUGUUCAUGAUCAUGUAAUGUUUCUUUAAAUAAUAAUAUAAUUAUCAUAGAAUUUAAUUUCUUUACGUCCUUUUCCGUCUACGUAUUAUUAUUCCAAUGAUCCAAAUAGUUUAAGUGAAGUUGAAUUUUUAGUUGUAUUUGUUGACUAUAUUUCGCUUUACGUAAUAAUGGAGUUUAUAUAUUUUAGAUAAUUAAAUUUAGAUUUUUACUUUUUUCUAUUUCUAUUUUAAUAUACGAUACAUAUUUUAGGAUUAAAUAAAAUUUAAAUUUAUCGAAUAAUCCAAAGGAAAUGAAUAACCUGAUAUACAAGUGGGUUGCUUAAUUAUGAAAAAAGUCUUGUUACUGUUGGUAUGAGAUUAGUAACAGAUUUUUGAAUUCAAAGUAUAUAUAUAUAUAUAUAAUUAUAUAUAUUGGGACAAUACAUCGAAUUUCCUUAAAUUUGUUUCAAUUUUUCCAUUAGAUACUUAAUUAAACUUCAUUCAAAAAAAAGUACUAAUGAAAAACAAAUAGUGAAGAUCAGGGCAACAUCUCUCAAAUAACUCCAAAGGAAAUAAAUAACCUGAUCUACAAGUGGACUGCUUUAGAAAAAUUACCAUGUAUUUGAGAUCGCUUACUUCACUUCUUCUCUCGUUUGCAGAAAAAUCACCAUGUAUUUGGAAUUUCGUUCACCUCACUUCUUCUCUUGUUUGUCUCGUAUGAUGUAGCGGAUGCAAAAUUGUUAUUAAGAAUAUCAAUGGUUACAGUAAAAAAUACAAAAUUAUCGGGUCAUGUUAUGUUAUACAUGUGGAAUUAUUUUGUUUGGUGUUAGUGUCGCAUUCAAAAUUUAUUGUUGGUAUAUAAAAAUUAAUUCUCGCAAUAAUAGUUAUCAUCUAUAUAUAUUUUAGAUAAAUAACACGAAAAUGUACAAGUAUCCUUUUAGACUAUGAUCGAAAAUUCAGAGACACGCUUUAACUAAACUAAGGUCCUAUUACUUCCGAACUUAAUUUUUGUAAUUUUGUGCACCUUUUUGGCUUAUGUGACAGUCAAAUAUCUCUCACGCGCCUCAAUUGCGUGAAGUUACGGAGUGGGUCAUGUGAGACAAAAAGUAUACAAAAUUAAAAAAAAAAAACACUAGUUCAGAAAUAAUGGAACCUUAAUUUAGUUAAAAUAUGUCUCUGAGAUUUCGAUUAUAAUUUAGAGAAAUACUUAUGCGUCCUCCCAUACAUAAUCAAUAAUUCUUCUGAAAAUGAUUUAUUAUGUUAUUACAUGUUUUCUGUAACGAUAUUUCAUUAUAGUUGUAAAAAGUAUUUGGACAAAUGACAUUUAUCAGUUUAGUUACAUUUACCAAAAAUUUCAGCACAAUUUAGAAAAUCGUGAAGAUGCACUUGUAAUUUCUUUCCCUCUCGUUUUAAAGUAGCUUGUAAUUUGCACCAAAGGUAUGUCUUGAUUUCCAUUUUUUCGAAAAUCAAAUUAAUUAAUCUAUGAAAUCAAUUUUUAUCAUAUUAACUUAAUAAAAUUAAAAGAGUUCGAGAAGUGAAAAACAAUAUAAAAUUAGUCAAUGGGGGAGUAGUUUAACAAUAAAUUGUGAAAUAAGAAGAAACAUAUGUUUGUCGUCAACACAUAUUCAAUAUAAUCAAGAACAAGAAGAAUUAUACAUUAUGGAAAAUUGAAAAUAUAUUAUCACAGUAUAUUGUGUUACAUUUUACAACAAAAUAUUACAUGAUCAACCAUACAUAUGAACUGAAUGAUGUUUUAUUCAUACGAUUUUAGAGUAGCAAGACCAUUACUAUAUCAUACAUCUUGCCACUACAUACAACGAUUUAUAAUAUUAUUUGAUGAUUUGUUCUGAGACAAUUGGCUAGUCACUUACUCAUGGCCACCAAUGGGAGGGUUGUAUGCACCACUUCAAGGCUUGUAUUUGUCAUUAGGGGGCUUAUAUUUGUCACUUGGAGAUUUGUAUUCAUUAUCAGGGGAUUUGUAUUUGUCACCUGGAAACUUGUAAUCGUCACUUGGGGGCUUAUAUUUAUCAUGUGAGGGAUUAUAGUUGUCACCUUCAUGUUUAUAUUCAUCUCUAUAAGGCUUAUAUUUGUCACGUGAGGGAUUAUAGUUGUCACCUUCAUGUUUAUAUUCAUCUCUAGGAGGCUUAUAUUUAUCAUGUGAGGGAUUAUAGUUGUCACCUGCAUGUUUAUAUUCAUAUCUAGGAGGCUUAUAUUUGUCAUGUGGAGAGUUAUACUUGUCACGUGGAUAUUUGUACUCAUCACUAGGGGGUUUGUACUUAUCAUAUGGGGAUCUAUAUUUGUCACCUGGAGAUUUGUAUUUGUCACCUGGAGACUUGUAUUCCUCACUUGGGGGCUUAUAUUUAUCACGUGAGGGAUUAUAGUUGUCACCUGCAUGUUUAUAUUCAUCUCUAGGAGCCUUAUAUUUAUCAUGUGGGAAGUUAUAUUUGUCACGUGAAUAUUUGUACUCAUCACUAGGAGGUUUGUAUUUGUCAUAUGGGGAUCUAUAUUUGUCACCUGGAGACUUAUAUUCUUCACUAGGGGACUUAUAUUUAUCACGUGGAGAGUUAUAUCCAGUAUUAUAUUUGCCACGUCCAUCACCAGAAUAUCCGCCAAUGCCAUUAUAUCCA
This 32962-nucleotide long non-coding RNA is filed under the name Solanum lycopersicum (tomato). RNAcentral describes it as "long non-coding RNA (SLYC_LNC000722)". The record is from RNAcentral. Lineage: Eukaryota; Viridiplantae; Streptophyta; Magnoliopsida; Solanales; Solanaceae.